This 1357-nucleotide ribosomal RNA is filed under the name metagenome. RNAcentral's name for it is "SSU rRNA". It matches the Rfam family "Eukaryotic small subunit ribosomal RNA", at positions 483 to 1800 of the family's 1831-position model. The record is from RNAcentral.
AUGCAGGUGCCUCACGGCACUUGCAAUUGGAAUGAGUGUGGUCUAAACAUCCUAGCGAGGAUCAAUUGGAGGACAAGUCUGGUGCCAGCACCCGCGGUAAUUCCAGCUCCAAUAGCGUAUAUUAAAGUUGUUGCAGUUAAAACGCUCGUAGUCUUAGUCAGGGGUCUCGCCAAGAUGGUCUGCUGGGGACAGCGUGCACUGCUUGGCGAACCUCUUAACUCGCGACUGGAGUCCAUCUGGUCUUAACUGGCUGGGUGGUCAACUCCUCGCGACGUUUACCAUGAGCAAAUUAGAGUGCUCUAGGCAGGCGCGACACGCUUGAAUAGUUUAGCAUGGGAUAACAGAACAGGACCCUGUCUUGUUCGUUGGUUAGCGAGACAGUGUAAUGAUCAACGGGAAUUGUCGGGGGCAUUUAUACCGCGAGGGGAGGGGUGAAAUCCUUGGAUCCUCGCGAGAUAAACUACUGCGAAAGCAUUUGCCAAGUAUACUUCCGUCGAUCAAGAACGAAAGUUUGGGGAUCGAAGACGAUCAGAUACCGUCGUAGUCCAAACUAUAAACGAUGGCGACCGUGGCUUGAGUGUCGUUACUCGAGACCUUCCCAGGACACAGCGAGAAAUCAGAGUUUUUGGCUUCCGGGGGGAGUAUGGUCGCAAGGCUGAAACUUAAAGGAAUUGACGGAAGGACACCACCAGGAGUGGAGCCUGCGGCUUAAUUUAACCCAACACGGGAAAACUCACCAGGUCCAGACAUAGUGAGGAUGGACAGAUUGAACGCUCUUUCUUGAUUCUAUGGGUGGUGGUGCAUGGCCGUUCUUAGUUCGUGGAUUGAUUUGUCUGGUUUAUUCCGAUAACGAACGAGAUCUCAACCUGCUAACUAGUUAGUCGAGUAGCCUGUACGAGUGAAUGCGAGAGUCUGCACGGUCCUCGUGGCUGGGUGGCUCUCGUUGGAUCUCUGGCUGGCUUGCGCUGUAACUUCUUAGAGGAACAACACUGUUCCAACGGUGAGGAAGUUUGAGGUAAUAACAGGUCUGUGAUGCCCUUAGAUGUUCUGGGCUGCACGCGCGCUACACUGAUGGUUCGAAUAAGUCCCCUCGGCUGAAAGGCCUGGGAAAUCUGUUAGUCAUCAUCGUGCUGGGGAUAGAUCAUUGCAAUUGUCGGUCUUGAACGAGGAAUUCCUAGUAAGCGCGAGUCAUCAGCUCGCGUUGAUUACGUCCCUGUCCUUUGUACACACCGCCCGUCGCUCCUACCGAUUGAAUGGUCCGAUGAAAGCUGCGGAUCACGGGGCAAUGUUCGCGCAGAACCUCGAGAGAAGCUGUUUGAAUCUUAUCAUUUAGAGGAAGGAGAAGUCGUAACAAGGU